Molecule: long non-coding RNA, 290 nt
Organism: Corticium candelabrum
Lineage: Eukaryota; Metazoa; Porifera; Homoscleromorpha; Homosclerophorida; Plakinidae
Exons: 3
Source: RefSeq, a predicted model, not a curated record
CAGCACCAGUUCAAUAUUUGUUGCUGCUACAAACAGCACAAGCAAUCUAUUGUGCAAUUGUGAGUCAUCGAACGGAUGGAAAAUAGCAGCUGCACUGGGUUGGACAUUCUCUGCAAUACUGCUAUGUGUUUGCAUUACCCUUAUGUGGUUUCAUUAUGGCAAGAACAAACAUAAGGCCACCAUCCCACAUCUCAAUCGUACAUCCAGAGAGAAUGAUGAAACUGUGGUGACCCGCAACCCAGCCUACAGUGCUGUAGCAAUGUGGCAAGACAGAUCAAUUGAAACAACUG